AGAGAAUUUUGCUCCUGCCCAUGUGACUAAUAAAAUAGAAGGGGGAAUGAGAGAAUAAUUGGCUAUAAUACAAGUCUCCUUCUUGGUACUGUCAGCAUAGACGCUUUCGUUGUGAUAUUCACAUUAUGACUCCCCAGAACACAGAGACUCAUGUUAGAAUGCUCAAAUCCCCUGACUUAAUUUGGGAGGUUUUAAAAGCUUAAAGUAUCACGCAGAAUCUAUUAAAACCAACUACACUGAUUAGAAAUAAGCAUGGCCUUCCACCACUAAGCUCAUUAAAGCUUGCACAAUUGAGAACCACAAAGAAAAACAAAGAGAUCUCAUCUAAGUAGUAAAAGACACUGUGCAUGACUUAAGCAUCUUGUCCCUAACUCUUCUUGAUUCGUUGUCACCUAAGUGUCAUUAGGAAAAUUUCAGAUUUAUUAACUAACAAAUGUAGAAAUCAAUGGAACUAGACCUAUCUUGGGUUAUGGACAACCACUGUAUUUACAGUUCUGUAUAUCUGAAGUCCACCCUGACCCUUAGACAUGGUUCUCCACACAGAUGUGAGAACAGUAGCACCAUUAUAUCCUGUCUCGUAGUAUUAAUGGGCUCACAAGAAUAAAAUGCAGAUAAGAAAGAAUUCUUCUAUUAAAAGAACAAAAUAAGAUUGAAGGUAAUUCCUACUAUAUUUUGGAAGUGUCAGGUUUUUUUUCUUAGUAUUUACAAUAUAUUCCUCUUGUCUCAUGACAAGGCUUAUAGUCUUAAUGAUCAAUGUUAUUAUUUUGAGUUAUUAAAAUAUUCUGUCCUAUUCUGUCUCUGAAGAGAAAGUAAAUCUGAGUAAACAAUUUGUAGGUAAAUUGACUGGUGAACCGCAUCUCAGUUUAUUCUUGUCUGUUCUGUGCCUUCCAGAAAGGCCAACUUCACAUCAAUGGGUGGAUCGUACCUCGGCCUAAGCUCCAGGAUUGAUUGUGCUGUUAGAGUCACAGCUACAACCGGCUCAGGGAACCCAGUGGAAGAGGAGGUGGAGUGUGAGAGCCAAUUGGAAUGGAAGACAGUGAGGAAACAAGGCCUUCGAGACACAAGAGGACUGCUGAGCUCACAAAGACUGAGGCAGCACCCUCAGGACCUGCACAGGUCUAAGCUUGAUGCGAUCUGAGUACUGAGAGGGCAACUGGACACAAUUCUAUAUUGAUAACCCAGAAGCUUUCUCCAGUUGAUAAACUCUUUCAAAGGAAAAACUUGUUUUCUACCAUGGAGUGACACUGGAUAUAGAAACUACCGUUAACAGCAGACUCCAUGGCUCAGACUUCCAAUACAAUAUGAACUCAGUUGCAAUUUUUUGCAAGGUUUUUCGACUCAUAGUUCUUUGUCUGGGUACUUUUUCACCCUACAGAGAAUUUCUGUAUAUAUUAUCGUUUCUGAUUCUAGUGUUUUGAAUUUUCGCUGGGUCUAAAUAUCUCUGUCUCAGUGUCAGUAUGUGUUUCUCAUGAUUUUUCUUUGCUUCUCUUUUUCCUAU
RNAcentral lists this long non-coding RNA (1498 nucleotides) under Mus musculus (house mouse). Its description in RNAcentral is "RNA imprinted and accumulated in nucleus". The record is from RNAcentral. Lineage: Eukaryota; Metazoa; Chordata; Mammalia; Rodentia; Muridae.